GACGAACGCUGGCGGCGUGCUUAACACAUGCAAGUCGAACGGAAAGGCCCCUGUUUGCUGGGGUACUCGAGUGGCGAACGGGUGAGUAACACGUGGGUGACCUGCCCUGCACUUCGGGAUAAGUCGGGGAAACUGGGGCUAAUACCGGAUAGGACGACGGGUUGGAUGCUGUUGUGGAAAAGUUUUUCGGUGUUGGAUGAGCUCGCGGCGUUUCAGCUCGUUGGUGGGGUAGUGGCGUACCAAGGCGUCGACGGGUAGCCGGCCUGAGAGGGUGUACGGCCACAUUGGGACUGAGAUACGGCCCAGACUCCUACGGGAGGCAGCAGUGGGGAAUAUUGCACAAUGGGCGGAAGCCUGAUGCAGCGACGCCGCGUGGGGGAUGACGGCCUUCGGGUUGUAAACACCUUUCGCCUGGGACGAAGCGCAAGUGACGGUACUGGGAGAAGAAGCACCGGCUAACUACGUG
This 466-nucleotide ribosomal RNA is filed under the name uncultured bacterium. RNAcentral's name for it is "partial 16S ribosomal RNA". It matches the Rfam family "Bacterial small subunit ribosomal RNA", at positions 28 to 507 of the family's 1533-position model. The record is from RNAcentral.